Molecule: ribosomal RNA, 708 nt
Filed under: uncultured bacterium
Lineage: Bacteria
Description: bacterial SSU rRNA
Rfam family: Bacterial small subunit ribosomal RNA
Source: RNAcentral
UGAGUAACACGUGGGUGAUCUGCCUGUGAGCGGGGGAUAACCUGGGGAAACUCGGGCUAAUACCGCAUACGUUGAUCAGGUUACGGCCUGGUCAAGAAAGCUGGCCUCUAUUUAUAAGCUAGCACUCACAGAGGAGCCCGCGGCUGAUUAGCUAGUUGGUAGGGUAAUGGCCUACCAAGGCGACGAUCAGUAGCCGGCCUGAGAGGGUGAUCGGCCACACUGGGACUGAGACACGGCCCAGACUCCUACGGGAGGCAGCAGUGGGGAAUAUUGGACAAUGGGCGCAAGCCUGAUCCAGCAACGCCGCGUGGAGGACGAAGGUCUUCGGAUCGUAAACUCCUGUCAGGCGGGACGAAGGCUUCCGGGCAAAUAGUCCGGAAGCUUGACGGUACUGCCAGAGGAAGCCCCGGCUAACUCCGUGCCAGCAGCCGCGGUAAUACGGAGGGGGCUAGCGUUAUUCGGAAUUAUUGGGCGUAAAGGGCGCGUAGGCGGCCCGGUAAGUCAAAGGUGAAAUCCCUCGGCUCAACUGAGGAACUGCCUUUGAAACUGUCGGGCUUGAGGCCGGGAGGGGGUAGCGGAAUUCCCAGUGUAGCGGUGAAAUGCGUAGAUAUUGGGAGGAACACCGGUGGCGAAGGCGGCUACCUGGACCGGUUCUGACGCUGAUGCGCGAAAGCGUGGGUAGCAAAACAGGAUUAGAUACCCUGGUAG